This 460-nucleotide ribosomal RNA is filed under the name uncultured bacterium. RNAcentral describes it as "partial 16S ribosomal RNA". It matches the Rfam family "Bacterial small subunit ribosomal RNA", at positions 338 to 795 of the family's 1533-position model. The record is from RNAcentral.
CCUACGGGAGGCAGCAGUGAGGAAUCUUGGUCAAUGGGCGCUAGCCUGAACCAGCCAAGUAGCGUGAAGGAUGACUGCCCUAUGGGUUGUAAACGUCUUUUAUAUGGGAAUAAAGUGUAGUAUGUAUACAGCUUUGCAUGUACCUUAUGAAUAAGGAUCGGCUAACUCGGUGCCAGCAGCCGCGGUAAUACGGAGGAUCCGAGCGUUAUCCGGUGUUAUUGGGUAUAAAGGGAGCGUAGGGGGAUUGUUAAGUGAGUUGUGAAAGUUUGCUGCGCAACCGUCAAAUUGCAGUUGAUACUGGCAACGUCGAGUACAGUAGAGGUAGGCGGAAUUCGUGGUGUAGCGGUGAAAUGCUUAGAUAUCACGAAGAACUCCGAUUGCGAAGGCAGCCUGCUGGACUGUAACUGACGCUGAUGCUCGAAAGUGUGGGUAUCAAACAGGAUUAGAUACCCGGGUAGUC